This 30-nucleotide non-coding RNA is filed under the name Mus musculus (house mouse). The record is from RNAcentral. Lineage: Eukaryota; Metazoa; Chordata; Mammalia; Rodentia; Muridae.
UACAGUUUAUGACUCCUUCAGGAACUAUGC